Long non-coding RNA from Mus musculus (house mouse), 1923 nucleotides. RefSeq annotates it as predicted gene, 41664. The transcript is spliced from 6 exons. The record is from RefSeq and is a predicted model, not a curated record. Lineage: Eukaryota; Metazoa; Chordata; Mammalia; Rodentia; Muridae.
UGCUUGACUGGAACACACGAUCAAAGGCAUAAGGCUUGGACUAAAAAAAUGAAAACAGAAGAGUUUCACAAAUUACAGGGUGGGGUAGAAGUUGGGCUGCACAUGUAGAGGUCAGAGGACAACUUUCGGAAGUCAACUCUCUGCUGCUACAGUGCUCCCCAGAGCAUGGACUUCCGGACAAAGUCCUAGACUGCAUCUUUAACAUGGAAGAUCACCUGCAUUUCUGCUACAGGGAAGGAGAAGAUGCAAUGGCUCCUUUCAAGGCUGUGCAACAUGAGCAUUCACAGUAGUUGAUACCCACAACUAUACGUAGGGAUGCAAGAGACCAUGCAGUAGCCUUAAGAUGGUUACAGCACCUUGCCCUAGCCACAUUCAAGGUCGCUUGAAACAAGAAUGUUACAGGAAGGGGCCAGUGAGAUGGUUCAGUGGCUAAAGGUGCCUGAAGCCACAUCUGGCAACCUGAGUUUGAUGUGUGGGACCAAUGAGGUGGAGGGAAGAAUGACUCCUCCCACAAGUUGUUCUCUGACCUUUACAGGUGGUUCCUCAGACCCUAUUCAACUGUCUCGCUUGUUGGGGCAAACUGGCGCCCAAACAGGGACUCCAGGGGAUCACAGAGGAGAGAACACCGCUCAUCACUAGAGAGUAGACCUAUCUGCUCAUCUUGAGAAGCACCAGAAAGUGACUUCAGUUUGGCACGAUGCCAUGGACCAACCCACCAUAAGACAGUCCGGGAGGAAUAAGUCAAGCGGCGCAGAUCUUAGGAGAAAUACUGGAAGACAUGGGACAAGCUUUCAAAGCAGUCACUUUUUGUGAUAGGGCUCAAGGAGUCACUCAAAACAAGGAACUAGGGUUAAAAAAAGGAUUUAAUAAAAUAUUUAGAUUUUGUGGGAGACAUUUGUCCUUAGUUCCCCCAAGAGGGGACAAUUGAUGAGAAACGCUGGCGCAGAGUUGGUGAUUGUUUCAAUGAUUAUUAUAAAGCAUUUGGACCUGCAAAAAUACCUGUUACUGCCUUUAGCUACUGGUCCCUUAUUAAUGACGUUUUUGGAAUCACCCCUGAAUGGCCGGAUCUCCAGAAUUUAGUGUCUGAGGGAGAACGAUCUCUUAAGAAAUCCACCUCCCCCUUCGCCCUCCUCCACCAUCACUGUUGCUGGAAGAGCAGUUUCUUAGAGAAUCUGUCUCCCAUCCUCCUUCAGCUAAUCUAGUAACUCAUAAUCCUUUAAGAGAAGAAUCUUUGCUGCUCUGCCUUCUGUGGCUGAUGGUAUCACGGGUCUCCCCUAUUUUCUCCAGUCACUAGAGGCCAAAUGGCUUGAUCUAACACCUCCCCCCCUGCUCCUGCCUCCAUGUGCACCUAUAGACGCUGCUGCACCAGAGCAAUGUGUCUUACUGAGAUGUGUUCUGUGUAGGCUGUGUCAGUUGCUCCAAACCACUCCACAUCUGACCUGACUGACAUUCAUUUGAAUACUGUGGAUUUAUUUUCUGCUGCCUUUUCUGGUGGCAGUGAUUUCCAGAGCUAGCUGUGUAUCCCCUGUAUAGGGUAAUAGAAGUCACAAGGGGGAACUGUUUGCAAAACUAUCUGGGCCUCUAUGUAUUGCUUUUAGAGUUUUCCUGAUUUUUAGCAGCUGUCCUGGAAUUCUUAAGUUUGAUGAGAUUUAAAACCCCUGCUCUGUAAAUAUCCUCCUCCACUGCUAACUGGCUGAGCCAACCCAAAGUUCCCUCCAUCCCUUCUGCUCUGUCUGUGGCAGCUGCUGCUGGUGCUGCCAAUGCACAGACAGCCUGGUUCCAGUGGAGCUGAGGUCUUGACGCCGGUGGAACCUGAUGGGUAAUAAUUUCCAUUUACAUGGGACAGUAGGCAUUCGAUCAUGUUUCCUGGACCCUUGGCUCCUGUCGAAGUUACUGCCUCCACAGUCCCCACAGGAGAGGCUC